Molecule: non-coding RNA, 800 nt
Organism: Parasteatoda tepidariorum (common house spider)
Lineage: Eukaryota; Metazoa; Arthropoda; Arachnida; Araneae; Theridiidae
Source: RefSeq, a predicted model, not a curated record
UAAAAAUUUCUCCAAACAAUUAAAAAGUUCUGCAAAGAAGCCUAUUUAUUUAUUUAUUCAUUGUUGAGUUUAUUUUCAAUCCAGUAAACCGCCCACCCAUGCGUUACUUUUUUAAUAAAAAUAAAAAACAUUUUUUAAUUAUUUAUGAUUUUAUUUUUUUAAACACAUCUCUUAUGUUAUUUUCGAGUAUUUCAAUAACAAAAUUUUUUUUGUUGAGUUAUCCAGAGAACAUUCAACCUGAAAAGUUCCUAAUUAUUUUUUUAUUUUCGGACAAUAGUUCAUGGGCGUUUUCGCGCGCUCAUUUUCAUCCACACAAGAGUCAAAUGAUCUGAAGAAAAAGAGUGAAUAAUAUCUAUUCUCUUCCUCAUUAAGUGCGCCCUCUACUGACGAUCCUCUAAAGCUUCGGUCAUAACAUGAAGUAUCGUUUGCGCGGAAGGAGUCACUAUGGGAAAUUUUUCUCUGUUGUUAAAUUUAAAUUUCUUAUGAACUCUUUAAGUUUGGUAAUGAUAAUACGAGUUCACAGUUUUGGAGAUUAAUGUUGAAACAACGUUGACGUAUUCCCUGCAAUUUUAUAAUUGUAAUAUAAGUGGUAAGUCAUGCCAUUUGUAUUUUUAUGAGCCGAGUAGGUAAUGUAUAUUCAAUAUUUACAUUUAACGUUUUAUCUCUUGCUGUUCAAAUCUCCUUUUGAUAUUUAUAAAAUUCUUCUUGCAUUUUUCUCUAAGUCUUAUGAUAAUAGUCAUUGGUAUUAUAUGUGAUUCAACAUAUUGAAGUCACCUGAUGUAGUGUGACUAAUCAUUUGU